Long non-coding RNA from Cebus imitator (Panamanian white-faced capuchin), 4008 nucleotides. RefSeq lists it as uncharacterized. The record is from RefSeq and is a predicted model, not a curated record. The transcript has 2 exons. Lineage: Eukaryota; Metazoa; Chordata; Mammalia; Primates; Cebidae.
CACUCCAGCCUGGGUGACAGAGUGAGAUCUUGUCUCAUAAAAAAAAUAAAAAAAAAUAAAAAAAAUAAAUAAAUAAAUUGUGGGAGCAGAAUUUUUGGUUGUUGCAGAAUAUCACCUUAAAUUAAAUCUUUAAUUUAAAAAACCUGAGUUUUGAUUAAGUUGUGCGAAUUGCUUGGACGCAAUCCAGAUAAAAAGUGCUAAGUAUAGCUAGAUGUGGAUAAUGCAUAUGGUAAAAAAUUAUGUUCAAAGACCACAAUCAUAUUUUCGAAAAUCUGCACUUUGGAGAAACUCCCAAAAUAUAUAAAAGAUAAAGUAUAUAGAUAAUGUAUAUAGCUUAAGAAGACUAUUUUUAUUACUUUUUAUUUCAUUUUGGGAAAAGGUGGAUGUUUUAUUAUCGUUUGAGAAAGGAAAUAAUAUUUUCUUAAAAUGCUAUUUCCUGCGAUAUAUCAUUUCAUAUGUAAUGUGUUAAAAAUAAGAACAAACUCUCAUUAAGAUUCUACUGCUGUUAUAUUUAAAAAGCUCUGUUUGGCUUCAAAAACAAUAAUUUGCUGAGCUUUAUCUUAAACAUACUUUUAAGGGACAAUGGACCAUAACUGAAUAAACUGCAUUUCAUAAUUUUUGAAGUGAAAGAAAUCUUUAUUAUGUAAACAAGUAGAACUAAGAAAUCUACCUACGUAUGUAAUUCUGUUUUAAUUGUACUUACAUAUCUAUAUAUACAAGAAAAAUAAAUAAUAAAAUAAGAAGUUGGCUGUGAUUGUGCUGAAUGACAAAACUAUGAGAUCUAUUUUUCUACUUUUUAUAUUUGUCAAACUUCUUGAAAAUUCAUCUUCAUGAAUAUAUCCUAAAAAAGAUAAAAUAAUAAAUAUCCCCUAUUUUGUCUGAGUGGUAAAUGAAAACUCAGAAUUUUAUAUCUGCAUUGGAAAAAGCUCUUACGAUUUACUAAUAAAUCUCUAAAAAUAAAUUAUUUUAUUUUUUGUGAUUAUAUCUUGCUUCUUCAUAAAGCGGACAGCAACAUACUUAGAUUACAGAUUGGUAAAUAGAAGUUCAGAAAAUUAUUGCUGUUCAACAAUAAUAGUUCAUAUUUGUUAACACUAACUCUAGUAGUCUGUAUACAUUAACACAGUACUCAGAACAACCAUAUAAGGUAGUACUGCUUUUAUGUCCAUUUUACAGGGGAAGAAGCUGAGGCACAGAGACGUUAAGAAUCAUGCUCAUGAACACACAACUAAUAAAUGGCAAAGCAAGAAUGAAUCCAGGAGUGGAUGAGCUCAAGCAGGGAAAGUCAUAAUCCCAAAGAUGAGGAAUAGCAAACUUCAGUGGAUGGACAGAAAAGAAGGGAAGUUUCCAGAGAAGGCGUCUGGGAAGAGGGUCAGAGUGGAAGGCAGAGGGCCAUGUGUAUACAUGCUGAUGCUUUAACCAGAAUGGAAGCAUUUUGAUGGUAAGGGCUUAUAUCUUAUAUACUCUUUGAGAUAAAUGUGAGACCCUUCUUCUGACCCUGAUCUUCAGAAAUGUCUGUUACAGUCCUUUGUACACACAUAUUUCUUCGCUGAUGCUGUGGUGGUCUGUCAGUAAUUUUCUUGUGUUAACCUUCUCAGCUAGAGCUUACAAGUCCCUGUGUCCUCACCUGUUAUGGACUAGGAGUUCGUUUACUAGAGAGCCUCAGUACUAUCCUAGCGCCUUCUCCAAGAGCAACAGGAGCAGACUCCUUGGUAUAUGCUCUCUAUGUGCACUGAGUCAGACCCCUCCCACAAAUGCACAGCAUGCCACUUUUACCUGUGUUGACUUUUUGCCUGAGUUGAUGAGAGAUUAUGGGAUAUAUCCUUUUAUCAUUGAAUCAUAGAUUUUUUCUUUUCUUCAUAUAUUGGCUGUUUCCGUACAUAGUUAGAACUUUAUGAAAUAGAAAUCGAAUCUCUCUCUUUUCUUUAUGGCCUGAAUAUUUAGUAGCAUAGCAGAAACAAAGCUACCAUAGAAGUCUGGACCUGGAAUUUAUGACAUGCUAAGGGGAUGUAAUAUAGUCAAAAAAGCACAGAUUUAGGAAUUAGGGGUUAUGAUUCUCAUUCUGUCACUUCAUAUCUGUGACUUUGGAAAAAAUAUUUAAAUUUUUGAGCCCUAUUUUCCUCAUUAUAAAGUGAAGAACUUGCUACAGAGUGCUUGUAAAGAUCAAAUAAACUUACCAAGAUAAAGGGCUUACCUUGUUGUAGGCUCCCAGUAUAAGGAAGUUGAAAUUCUAGUACAUAAAGAAUCAUUUUCCUCCAUGUUUUCAGAUGCUUGUCUUUUGGCCAUUCCGUAGCUCAUUUCCACUCAUCCAUGUUAGGUGGGUUAGUAGAAAAACAAGCCUUAAUUCAGCCAUGCCUGUUUGGUGCAGCUAAGGCACGUAAUUUUAGUUGGUGAUAAAUAUACUGCUGAAAUGGUUUAGGGCAUAAUCUAGUUUUCUUGAUUCAUACUACAGGUGGGUUAAAAAUAUACUUACAAUCAGUUUCUCAUGAUAAUGCGUAAAUAUCCUAUUUUAGUCUUUCUUUCUGGAAAAAAAAUCUAGCAACAAAUUUCUCAUAGACUGGAGUAUUUAUUUCAAGCACAUCCCAUACAGAAUCCCUCUUGGCUUCUCUCUAAAUAACCCAAAAUUUGCUUCCUACUUCCGGAUCUCUGCUGCAAUCCUGAAUCAGUACUAGAUGACUCCGUUGCAAGUUAGCGCAGGUUUCAGACAAGCCUACUGGGUAAAGAGAGAACUUUUCGAAGACAAGAGACAAAUAAGCUGCAACUUUAACUUGGCAGACGUAUUUAUUGAAAUUGUGGUUUAGGAGAAUUUUCCAAAGCCCCUGUAGCUGUAGAUCUGAUUUGAGAGCUCCAACUUCUCUCUCUUCUUUGGGAAUGAAUAUUAUUUAGGAAAGCCCUGUCUUGUUGCCUUUGUUUGGUGUAAUUACUUGUAAUUACCCUUUCAUUCUCAAGAAUCAUAAUUUGGAUGAUAAAAUGUAUGGUCAUUUCUUCCAGGCCUUUUGCAGAAUAAAGUUCAUCUGUUUUAAGAUAUAUUUCUUGUAUUAAUCUAAGAAAUAUUAGAAUACCUUUUCUAUAGCAGAAGCCCUUGGGACCUCAUCUUGCAGUCAUUUAAAUAUUUCUUCAGAGUAAUAAUUAAAAGCACACAUAAGCUAAUGAAUAACUCCCCAUGGCUCUCUUAAUGGCAAAAGCAAAUAAUAUAACUUCACAGGGACUUACCAAAUACAGCAGCCCUAGGAGAGAAACAUGAGGAUUUGUCCCUUCAAGUUUAAAUUUGCGAAGCAAUUUGCAAUCAUUGUAAUUAGUUUUUCCAUUUCGUAAAUAUAAGAAUAGGUAUUCACAUUGGACAGAAAGGGAAUGGAGACUCAGAGAAACCUAAUGCUGUGCCUUCUGGAAUAUUGUUCUAGGCUUGAAUUCUGAACACUGUGGUCUCACACACCCUUUACAAACUUGAGUCAUCUCCCUUCCUGACGCUGGUGAGAUGUGCUGUGGUUUAGCAAUUUGAGGGUAGUAAGCUUUUAAAAAGAUCAUCAGAGAUGCUUUAGAGUUAAUGUGGAGAACAGGUUUCCGUGGUGCCGUGUGGUUGCUGGGAUGGGAAAGAAUGACACAGCUGUUCUCUCCAGUGGGAGGAUGCACUGGCUCUUUUGGAAGCUGUGUCAGGAAAAAGCUGAGAUCUUCCUGAUCCUAAGGCAUCUGAGUAGGUAUAUGUUCAGGUUGGGGAAGACUGGUUCUUAAGAAGCAUCAUAAUUGCAGGAGAUGGGGUUGAAUGAAAGAGGAGACAAGAAUGGUCUACCUGCUUGAUAAUAUCCUUUCCAUCUAUUCAAUGUCUGGCCUGAUCCAGUUUAUAGUUUUUCCCUGGCUCCCUGUCUGCAGCCUGGUUCUGAGAGUAGAAACUAAGUUCAAAGUAGGCAGGGGAGCACAGGAAGGUUUACCCUCCAAAAAAAAAAAGAGCUUGGAUUGCCUUUGUCUGGUGGGAAAAUGUGCAGCAGCAGAGGAAAGAAUAGUGCCAUGAAACCA